UACGGAGGGUGCAAGCGUUAUCCGGAUUCACUGGGUUUAAAGGGAGCGUAGGUGGGUUGGUAAGUCAGUGGUGAAAUCCCCGAGCUUAACUUGGGAACUGCUAUUGAUACUAUUAGUCUUGAAUACUGUGGAGGUCAGCGGAAUAUGUCAUGUAGCGGUGAAAUGCUUAGAUAUGACAUAGAACACCAAUUGCGAAGGCAGCUGGCUACACAAAUAUUGACACUGAGGCUCGAAAGCGUGGGGAUCAAACAGG
RNAcentral lists this ribosomal RNA (253 nucleotides) under uncultured bacterium. RNAcentral's name for it is "partial 16S ribosomal RNA". It matches the Rfam family "Bacterial small subunit ribosomal RNA", at positions 524 to 776 of the family's 1533-position model. The record is from RNAcentral.